This 435-nucleotide ribosomal RNA is filed under the name Triticum aestivum (bread wheat). RNAcentral's name for it is "partial small subunit ribosomal RNA". The record is from RNAcentral. Lineage: Eukaryota; Viridiplantae; Streptophyta; Magnoliopsida; Poales; Poaceae.
AUGUGGCUAGUGGUUCAUCGCCGGUGCCUGACUGCAGACAACUUGGAGCGGAGGGGCUGGCCCUCAAACGGCAACUGCCCUCUGUGCCUUGUGACGCCGGAGGACUGCACUCACCUGUUCGUGCACUGCAGGUUCACACAACAGGUUUGGCUACUGUUCAGAGAUUGGACACGGGCGAAUUUUCAGGUGCCGGACGAUCAUUUCAUCAAUACGGAAGACUGGUGGCUGCAAGCACGUAAGUUAGUUCCCAAGCCUAUGCGUCGGAACUUUGACACAAUCUCCAUCUUGAUUCACUGGAGGAUUUGGAAGGAAAGAAAUUCUAGAAUUUUUGAGCAGGAAGCGAGUAGUCCCUUCAGAGUUUUGGAUCGGAUCAUAGAAGAUAUUGAGAUAUGGAGGGCGGCCGGUUGUGUCACUGACACCGGCAACCUUUCUUGA